AGUGAACGCUGGCGGUAGGCCUAACACAUGCAAGUCGAACGGCAGCACAGUAAGAGCUUGCUCUUACGGGUGGCGAGUGGCGGACGGGUGAGGAAUACAUCGGAAUCUACUUUUUCGUGGGGGAUAACGUAGGGAAACUUACGCUAAAACCGCAUACGACCUACGGGUGAAAGCAGGGGAUCUUCGGACCUUGCGCGGUUGAAUGAGCCGAUGUCGGAUUAGCUAGUUGGCGGGGUAAAGGCCCACCAAGGCGACGAUCCGUAGCUGGUCUGAGAGGAUGAUCAGCCACACUGGAACUGAGACACGGUCCAGACUCCUACGGGAGGCAGCAGUGGGGAAUAUUGGACAAUGGGCGCAAGCCUGAUCCAGCCAUACCGCGUGGGUGAAGAAGGCCUUCGGGUUGUAAAGCCCUUUUGUUGGGAAAGAAAAGCAGCAGGUUAAUACCCCGCUGUUCUGACGGUACCCAAAGAAUAAGCACCGGCUAACUUCGUG
Molecule: ribosomal RNA, 492 nt
Filed under: uncultured bacterium
Lineage: Bacteria
Description: partial 16S ribosomal RNA
Rfam family: Bacterial small subunit ribosomal RNA
Source: RNAcentral